GAUGAACGCUGGCGGCGUGCUCAAUACAUGCAAGUCGAACGGAAAGGCCCGGCUCUUGCGGGUCUCUCGAGAGGGGAAGGGGGGUGUAAAACGCGUGUAACCCGUCCUUGACUUUGGGAUAACUUCAGGAAAAUCGGGCUAAUAUACGGGAGGAGCUCUUGAUCCACGGGGUGGGAUGGAAAGAUUCGGCUGUUGGGGCUGGAAUAGCGGCUUAUGGGCUUGUUGGUGGGGUAGUGGCUGACCAAGGCUUCGACGGCUAGCCGGCCUGAGAGGGUGACCGGCGACAAUGGGACUGAGAGACGGCGCAGUCUCCUACGGGAGGCAACAGUGGGAAGUCUUACGCAGUGAGCGGGAGUCUGAUACGGCGGCGCCCCGUGCGGAAUGACGGCCUUCGGGUUGUGAACCGCUUUCGCCUGUGACGAGGCGUGAGUGACGGUAAUGAGUAAGGAAGCACCGGCUAACUACGUG
This 468-nucleotide ribosomal RNA is filed under the name uncultured bacterium. RNAcentral describes it as "partial 16S ribosomal RNA". It matches the Rfam family "Bacterial small subunit ribosomal RNA", at positions 28 to 507 of the family's 1533-position model. The record is from RNAcentral.